ACUCCUGCGGGAGGCAGCAGUGGGGAAUUUUGGACAAUGGGCGAAAGCCUGAUCCAGCCAUGCCGCGUGCAGGAUGAAGGCCUUCGGGUUGUAAACUGCUUUUGUACGGAACGAAACGGCCUUUUCUAAUAAAGAGGGCUAAUGACGGUACCGUAAGAAUAAGCACCGGCUAACUACGUGCCAGCAGCCGCGGUAAUACGUAGGGUGCAAGCGUUAAUCGGAAUUACUGGGCGUAAAGCGUGCGCAGGCGGUUAUGUAAGACAGUUGUGAAAUCCCCGGGCUCAACCUGGGAACUGCAUCUGUGACUGCAUAGCUAGAGUACGGUAGAGGGGGAUGGAAUUCCGCGUGUAGCAGUGAAAUGCGUAGAUAUGCGGAGGAACACCGAUGGCGAAGGCAAUCCCCUGGACCUGUACUGACGCUCAUGCACGAAAGCGUGGGGAGCAAACAGGAUUAGAUACCCCGGUAGUCCCAUGA
This 474-nucleotide ribosomal RNA is filed under the name uncultured organism. RNAcentral describes it as "partial 16S ribosomal RNA". It matches the Rfam family "Bacterial small subunit ribosomal RNA", at positions 335 to 800 of the family's 1533-position model. The record is from RNAcentral.